CCUACGGGCGGCUGCAGUGAGGAAUAUUGGUCAAUGGACGAGAGUCUGAACCAGCCAAGUAGCGUGAAGGAUGACUGCCCUAUGGGUUGUAAACUUCUUUUAUAUGGGAAUAAAAUGUUCCACGUGUGGGAUUUUGUAUGUACCAUAUGAAUAAGGAUCGGCUAACUCCGUGCCAGCAGCCGCGGUAAUACGGAGGAUCCGAGCGUUAUCCGGAUUUAUUGGGUUUAAAGGGACCGUAGGUGGAGUGUUAAGUCAGUUGUGAAAGUUUGCGGCUCAACCGUAAAAUUGCAGUUGAAACUGGCAGUCUUGAGUACAGUAGAGGUGGGCGGAAUUCGUGGUGUAGCGGUGAAAUGCUUAGAUAUCACGAAGAACUCCGAUUGCGAAGGCAGCUCACUGGACUGCAACUGACACUGAGGCUCGAAAGUGUGGGUAGCAAACAGGAUUAGAUACCCCAGUAGUC
Molecule: ribosomal RNA, 460 nt
Filed under: uncultured bacterium
Lineage: Bacteria
Description: partial 16S ribosomal RNA
Rfam family: Bacterial small subunit ribosomal RNA
Source: RNAcentral